UACAGAGGUCCCGAGCGUUGUUCGGAUUCACUGGGCGUAAAGGGUGCGUAGGCGGCUUUGUAAGUCAGUGGUGAAAUAUGGCAGCUUAACUGUCAAGGUGCCAUUGAUACUGCGGAGCUUGAGUACAGAUGAGGUAGGCGGAAUUGACGGUGUAGCGGUGAAAUGCUUAGAUAUGUCACAGAACACCGAUUGCGAAGGCAGCUCACUAAAGUGUAACUGACGCUGAGGCACGAAAGCGUGGGGAUCAAACAGG
This 253-nucleotide ribosomal RNA is filed under the name uncultured bacterium. RNAcentral's name for it is "partial 16S ribosomal RNA". It matches the Rfam family "Bacterial small subunit ribosomal RNA", at positions 524 to 776 of the family's 1533-position model. The record is from RNAcentral.